Molecule: ribosomal RNA, 495 nt
Filed under: uncultured bacterium
Lineage: Bacteria
Description: partial 16S ribosomal RNA
Rfam family: Bacterial small subunit ribosomal RNA
Source: RNAcentral
GAUGAACGCUGGCGGCGUGCCUAAUACAUGCAAGUAGAACGCUGAAGGAGGAGCUUGCUCUUCUGGAUGAGUUGCGAACGGGUGAGUAACGCGUAGGUAACCUGCCUGGUAGCGGGGGAUAACUAUUGGAAACGAUAGCUAAUACCGCAUGACAACAGUUAUUGCAUGAUAACUGUUUAAAAGGGGCAACUGCUCCACUACCAGAUGGACCUGCGUUGUAUUAGCUAGUUGGUGAGGUAACGGCUCACCAAGGCGACGAUACAUAGCCGACCUGAGAGGGUGAUCGGCCACACUGGGACUGAGACACGGCCCAGACUCCUACGGGAGGCAGCAGUAGGGAAUCGUCGGCAAUGGACGGAAGUCUGACCGAGCAACGCCGCGUGAGUGAAGAAGGUUUUCGGAUCGUAAAGCUCUGUUGCAAGAGAAGAACGAGUGUGAGAGUGGAAAGUUCACACUGUGACGGUAUCUUACCAGAAAGGGACGGCUAACUACGUG